Molecule: ribosomal RNA, 492 nt
Filed under: uncultured bacterium
Lineage: Bacteria
Description: partial 16S ribosomal RNA
Rfam family: Bacterial small subunit ribosomal RNA
Source: RNAcentral
AGUGAACGCUGGCGGUAGGCCUAACACAUGCAAGUCGAACGGCAGCACAGUAAGAGCUUGCUCUUACGGGUGGCGAGUGGCGGACGGGUGAGGAAUACAUCGGAAUCUACUCUUUCGUGGGGGAUCACGUAGGGAAACUUACGCUAAUACCGCAUACGCCCUACGGGUGAAAGCAGGGGAUCUUCGGACCUUUCGCGAUUGAAUGAGCCGAUGUCGGAUUAGCUAGUUGGCGGGGUAAAGGCCCACCAAGGCGACGAUCCGUAGCUGGUCUGAGAGGAGGAUCAGCCACACUGGAACUGAGACACGGUCCAGACUCCUACGGGAGGCAGCAGUGGGGAAUAUUGGACAAUGGGCGCAAGCCUGAUCCAGCCAUACCGCGUGGGUGAAGAAGGCCUUCGGGUUGUAAAGCCCUUUUGUUGGGAAAGAAAAGCAGCAGGUUAAUACCCCGCUGUUCUGACGGUACCCAAAGAAUAAGCACCGGCUAACUUCGUG